This 444-nucleotide ribosomal RNA is filed under the name uncultured bacterium. RNAcentral describes it as "bacterial SSU rRNA". It matches the Rfam family "Bacterial small subunit ribosomal RNA", at positions 340 to 773 of the family's 1533-position model. The record is from RNAcentral.
UACGGAAGGCAGCAGUGGGGAAUAUUGCACAAUGGGCGCAAGCCUGAUGCAGCCAUGCCGCGUGUAUGAAGAAGGCCUUCGGGUUGUAAAGUACUUUCAGUCGUGAAGGAAGGUGUUAAGGUUAUAACCUUAGCAAUUGACGUUAGCGACAGAAGAAGCACCGGCUAACUCCGUGCCAGGCAGCCGCGGUAAUACGGAGGGUGCGAGCGUUAAUCGGAAUUACUGGGCGUUAAAGGGCACGCAGGCGGUUAAUUAAGUUGGAUGUGAAAUCCCCGGGCUUAACCUGGGAAUGGCAUUCAAGACUGGUUAGCUAGAGUCUUGUAGAGGGGGUAGGAAUUCCGAUGUGUAGCGGUGAAAUGCGUAGAGAUGUGGAGGAAUACCGGUGGCGAAAGGCGGCCCCUGGACAAAGACUGACGCUCAUGUGCGAAAGCGUGGGGAGCAAAC